GAUGGUCAGAGCGCAGCGCAAAGUGGUUUGAUCCAUGAUACAUGUUCCUCAGACGAAAGGCUUCUAGAACAAGGAAUCGACAAAGCUAAGGAGUACAAGUCAAGGAAUUGGAAAAGAGAAGUGUACCAUGCCCUAAAAAUGGAGAUGUUCAAGAGCACCGUAUGGGAACUAGAGAAAGGAGGGAUCGGAUAUGCAAGGAUGUGACCAACUUUCUCAACUUUAGUUCAAAA
Asparagus officinalis (garden asparagus) is the source of this 230-nucleotide long non-coding RNA. RefSeq lists it as uncharacterized. The record is from RefSeq and is a predicted model, not a curated record. The transcript has 3 exons. NCBI's taxonomy places the organism in Eukaryota, Viridiplantae, Streptophyta, Magnoliopsida, Asparagales, Asparagaceae.